GCGGGUAUAGCUCAGUGGUAGAGUGCAUACCUAGCAUGCACGAGGUACUGGGUUCAAUCCCCAGUACCUCCA
Molecule: transfer RNA, 72 nt
Organism: Camelus ferus (Wild Bactrian camel)
Lineage: Eukaryota; Metazoa; Chordata; Mammalia; Artiodactyla; Camelidae
Rfam family: tRNA
About the family: Transfer RNA (tRNA) molecules are approximately 80 nucleotides in length. Their secondary structure includes four short double-helical elements and three loops (D, anti-codon, and T loops).
Source: Rfam